UACGAAGGGGGCUAGCGUUGUUCGGAAUUACUGGGCGUAAAGCGCACGUAGGCGGCUUUCUAAGUCGGGGGUGAAAUCCUGGAGCUCAACUCCAGAACUGCCUUCGAUACUGGAGAGCUCGAGUCCGGGAGAGGUGAGUGGAACUCCGAGUGUAGAGGUGAAAUUCGUAGAUAUUCGGAAGAACACCAGUGGCGAAGGCGACUCACUGGCCCGAUACUGACGCUGAGGCGCGAAAGCGUGGGGAGCGAACAGG
This 253-nucleotide ribosomal RNA is filed under the name uncultured bacterium. RNAcentral's name for it is "partial 16S ribosomal RNA". It matches the Rfam family "Bacterial small subunit ribosomal RNA", at positions 524 to 776 of the family's 1533-position model. The record is from RNAcentral.